AAGUUAUAAAAAAACUAGAGGCUCUAAAGAGCCUGUGUCGCUCACCUUGGUCUAUGUGCAUAUUAAACAAAGGACACAAAUGGAUUCAUGACAAAAUUGUAUUUUGGUGAUGGUGAUGUGUUUGAAGUUCUUUCUUUACUGAACGAUUUUGCUUCUUACAAUUAUAUCUAUAAUGAACUUUGCCCAUUAGUAACAGAGAACUAUAUUUGGUAAAAAUUUACAUAAAUUUACCAAAUUAAUGAAAAUUGUUAAAAAUUGACUAUAAAGGGCAAUAACUCCUUAAGGGGUCAACUGACCAUUUUGGUCAUGUUGACUUAUUUGUAGAUCUUACUUUGCUGAACAUUAUUGCUGUUUACAAUUUAUCUCUAUCUAUAAUAAUAUUCAAGAUAAUAACCAAAAACAGCAAAAUUUCCUCAAAAUUACCAACUCAGGGGCAGCAACCCAACAACCGAUUGACCGAUUCAUCUGAAAAUUUCAGGGCAGAUAGAUCUUGACCUGAUAAACAUUUUUAUUCCAUGUCAGAUUUCCUCAAAAUGCUUUGGUUUUUGAGUUAUAAGCCAAAAACUGCAUUUUACCCCUAUGUUCUAUUUUUAGCGGUGGCGGCCAUCUUGGUUGGUUGACCAGGUCAUGCCACACAUUUUUAGCUCACCUGGCCCGAAGGGCCAAGUGAGCUUUUCUCAUCACUUGGCGUCCGGCGUCCGUCGUCCGUCGUCCGUCGUCCGUCGUCCGUCGUCGUCGUCGUCGUUAACUUUUACAAAAAUCUUCUCCUCUGAAACUACUGGGCCAAAUCAAACCAAACUUGGCCACAAUCAUCAUUGGGGUAUCUAGUUUAAAAAAUGUGUGGCGUGACCCGGUCAACCAACCAAGAUGGCCGCCACGGCUAAAAAUAGAACAUAGGGGUAAAAUGCAGUUUUUGGC
Molecule: long non-coding RNA, 918 nt
Filed under: Mytilus galloprovincialis (Mediterranean mussel)
Lineage: Eukaryota; Metazoa; Mollusca; Bivalvia; Mytilida; Mytilidae
Source: RNAcentral